RNAcentral lists this ribosomal RNA (468 nucleotides) under uncultured bacterium. Its description in RNAcentral is "partial 16S ribosomal RNA". It matches the Rfam family "Bacterial small subunit ribosomal RNA", at positions 28 to 507 of the family's 1533-position model. The record is from RNAcentral.
GACGAACGCUGGCGGCGUGCUUAACACAUGCAAGUCGAACGGAAAGGCCCUGCUUUUGUGGGGUGCUCGAGUGGCGAACGGGUGAGUAACACGUGAGUAACCUGCCCUUGACUUUGGGAUAACUUCAGGAAACUGGGGCUAAUACCGGAGAGGAGCUCCUGCUGCAUGGGGGGGGUUGGAAAGUUUCGGCGGUGGGGGCUGGAAUCGCGGCUUAUCAGCUUGAUGGUGGGGUAGUGACUGCCCAAGGUUUUGAAGGGUAGCCGGCCUGGGAGGGUGACCGGCCACAUGGCGCCUGCGGUACGCCCCAGACUCCUACGUGAGGCAGCGGUCGAGAGUCUUGCACAGUGGGCGCAAGCCUGAUGCAGCAGCGCCGCGUUCGUAAUGCCGUCCUUCGGGUUGUAAACCGCUUUCUCCUGUGACGAACCGUGAGUGACGGUACUGGGUAAGGAAGCACCGGCUAACUACGUG